This 476-nucleotide ribosomal RNA is filed under the name uncultured bacterium. RNAcentral's name for it is "partial 16S ribosomal RNA". It matches the Rfam family "Bacterial small subunit ribosomal RNA", at positions 28 to 507 of the family's 1533-position model. The record is from RNAcentral.
GAUGAACGCUGGCGGCGUGCUUAACACAUGCAAGUCGAACGAGAAGUGAAGACGGAAACCUUCGGGCGGAAGGCUUUAUUUCGAGUGGCGGACGGGUGAGUAACGCGUGGGUAACCUGCCUCAUACAGGGGGAUAACAGUUGGAAACGACUGUUAAUACCGCAUAAGACCACAGCACCGCAUGGUGCGGGGGUAAAAACUCCGGUGGUAUGAGAUGGACCCGCGUUCGAUUAGCCAGUUGGCGGGGUAACGGCCCACCAAAGCGACGAUCGAUAGCCGAUCUGAGAGGAUGACCGGCCACAUUGGGACUGAGACACGGCCCAAACUCCUACGGGAGGCAGCAGUGGGGAAUAUUGCACAAUGGGGGAAACCCUGAUGCAGCGACGCCGCGUGAGUGAAGAAGUAUUUCGGUAUGUAGCUCUAUCAGCAGGGAAGAAAAUGACGGUACCUGAGGAAGAAGCCCCGGCUAACUACGUG